UAGUUUGAUUCUGGCUCAGGAUGCAACGUUGGCGGCGUGCCUAACACAUGCAAGUUGAGCGUGGCUCUAGUUUACUAGAGUCUAGCAGCGGACGGCUGAGUAACGCACAGGAACGUACCUCGGAGUGGGGGAUAGCCCAUCGAAAGAUGGGGUAAUACCGCAUUCGCUCGCAAGAGUAAAGCCGCAAGGCGCUUCGAGAGCGGCCUGUGUCCUAUCAGGUUGUUGGUGGGGUAAUGGCCUACCAAGCCUAUGACGGGUAGCUGGUCUGAGAGGAUGAUCAGCCAGAUCGGGACUGAGACACGGCCCGAACUCCUACGGGAGGCAGCAGUUGGGAAUAUUGCGCAAUGGGCGAAAGCCUGACGCAGCGACGCCGCGUGGAGGAUGAAGGCCUUCGGGUCGUAAACUCCUUUUGCUAGGGAGUAAUUUGUGAAAGUACCUAGCGAAUAAGCACCGGCUAACUCCGUGCCAGCAGCCGCGGUAAUACGGAGGGUGCAAACGUUAUCCGGAAUCACUGGGCGUAAAGCGCAUGUAGGUGGUUUGGUAAGUGGGCGAUUAAAGACCGAUGCUUAACAUCGGGACUGUUGCCUAUACUGCCAGACUUGAGGAAGACAGGGGCAGGCGGAACUUU
RNAcentral lists this ribosomal RNA (628 nucleotides) under uncultured Pseudomonadota bacterium. RNAcentral describes it as "bacterial SSU rRNA". It matches the Rfam family "Bacterial small subunit ribosomal RNA", at positions 9 to 670 of the family's 1533-position model. The record is from RNAcentral. Lineage: Bacteria; Pseudomonadati; Pseudomonadota.